Molecule: long non-coding RNA, 1231 nt
Organism: Myodes glareolus (Bank vole)
Lineage: Eukaryota; Metazoa; Chordata; Mammalia; Rodentia; Cricetidae
Source: RefSeq, a predicted model, not a curated record
GUGACAGCUCAGCCGGUAACGCACUUGCUGUGCCAGAGAGAGAGCCCAGAAGGACAGACACUGCCUGUUCUCUCUAAUCUGAAGCUCCUCGCUCCACACAUUCAGGAGCUGGCUGAAACUGGGGAGCAGAGGCCAUCAAAGUCCAGAGCUCCUGUUCUAAAGCGGAUCACCACCAGGGUGGAGUGUGUGGGCUGGAGCUUCAGUCACACCCUCCCACACUGCCCCCAAGCAGGGCUCUUCAGUGGGAGACAAAAAACAAGAACUACCUGCAACCGCUGUUGGGAAAAGUGACAUCAGGAAAUUUGCAGGCAAAUGGAUGGAACUAGAAAAAAAAUCAUCCCAAGCAAGGCAAACCAGACCCAGAAAGACAAGCAUGAUAUGCACUCACUUAUAAGUGGAUAUUAACUGUAUAAUAAUAAUGUAUACUAACUGUAUAAUAGGAUAAUCACACUAUAAUCCACAGACCCAGAGAGGCUAAGAAACAAGGAAGGCUCUGGGGGUGAUGCCGGGAUCUCCCCUUGGAGCGGGAAAUAGAAUAGAUUUUGCAGGUGGACUAGGGGUAGAUGGAGAUGGGAAUAAGAGGGCUCAGGCUAAGGAGGGAGGAAUGAGGGAGAGACUGAACAGAGAAGCAUUUAGGGGGUACUGUGGAACCCUACUGCAGUGGAAACGCCCUGGAACCUAUGGGGGUGAGCCUAGAGGACUCCAAGCAAUGGAGGAGGAAAGCCCGAAUUGGCCAUCUUCAAUAACCUGGCAAGGAUCUCAGCAGUGGGACCACUAACCCAGCAGUAAAACCUUCAAUCCACCCCUGUCCUGCCUGCAAGAUGUUCUGAAGCAAUGGUGGCUCAGAGCUUGUGAGAGUGGUCAAUCAAGGACUGGGCUAACUGAGGUCCAUACUACAAGACGAAGCCCAUGCCCAAAACUGUCUGGAUGGUCAGGAACUAGAAGCUGGAUGGCUCAAAGACCUAGGUCAGAACCAAACACUUAUGACAGGAAGAAAAAAAAAUCACAUGCAGCAAGUGAGAGUAAUGGGAAAAGACUUGUUAACCAAUAGUCUUUAAGAGGUGGAACAUAGUUUAGGCGUGACUUUCUAGGACCGGGAGAUACAAACCUGUGCAUCACCCAGGUACGCUCUCUGUAAUUUCCCCCGUUGUCAAGCAGAGCCUGGAUCUUCCGUGCCUGUGGUGUGAGUUUUUCCCCUUAGAGUAAAUAAAAUAUAUUUGUCUAUCUUUAA